GACGAACGCUGGCGGCGUGCUUAAUACAUGCAAGUCGAGCGAGGCCUUGGAAUUGGAGUCCUUCGGGAUGAAGAGUCCUUGGCCUAGCGGCGGACGGGUGAGUAACGCGUGGGCAACCUACCCCAAAGUCCGGGAUAACAGUGGGAAACCGCUGCUAAUACCGGAUGGCUUUACCUGAGGGCAUCCUCGGGUAAAGAAAGGUUACGCUUUGGGAUGGGCCCGCGUCCCAUUAGCUAGUUGGUGAGGUAACGGCUCACCAAGGCGACGAUGGGUAGCCGGCCUGAGAGGGUGAACGGCCACACUGGGACUGAGACACGGCCCAGACUCCUACGGGAGGCAGCAGUAGGGAAUAUUGCGCAAUGGGCGGAAGCCUGACGCAGCGACGCCGCGUGAGCGAAGAAGGCCUUCGGGUCGUAAAGCUCUGUCCUUGGGGAAGAAGGCGAAAGCUUGACGGUACCCAAGAAGAAAGCCCCGGCUAACUACGUGCCAGCAGCCGCGGUAAUACGUAGGGGGCGAGCGUUGUCCGGAAUUACUGGGCGUAAAGGGUGCGUAGGCGGCCUUUUAAGUCAGAUGUGAAAGGCUGCGGCUUAACCGCAGGACUGCAUUUGAAACUGGAAGGCUUGAGUGUCGGAGAGGGUAGUGGAAUUCCCAGUGUAGCGGUGAAAUGCGUAGAUAUUGGGAGGAACACCAGUGGCGAAGGCGACUACCUGGACGAUAACUGACGCUGAGGCACGAAAGCUAGGGGAGCAAACAGG
Molecule: ribosomal RNA, 755 nt
Filed under: uncultured bacterium
Lineage: Bacteria
Description: bacterial SSU rRNA
Rfam family: Bacterial small subunit ribosomal RNA
Source: RNAcentral